UUUCACCAUUGGACAUCCAAGACUUGUAAAUAAAUCUACACUCUAAAAAUUAAAAGGUUCGCUGCAGGAUCCUUCAGGUUAAUUUAACAACAUAUACUCUGCCAUCAGUUAGUUUCUGAACCUUUGUGGACUUAAGGGGUGCUUAGAAGAACCCAUUUCAAAAGAGAAGUUUGUUUUGGAACCAGCAGUGGACUCGUGCAUAUAAUUAAAAAUGAGAACGUUGCUGAAAAGAGGAAGCCAGAAGCGCGCGAGUGGUUGGAGAGGCGGGACAGAUAAGAGAUGACUUGCAACAGAUCGACGUGGAAGGAGGUACGGCAUGAUGGAGAAUAAAUACAAAAAAGAACGUCAGCCGCUUGCUCACAUUGCAAAAGUACAGGAAAUGCAGAAGAGGUUUGGGAGGUAAGGGGGAAAAAAAUAAGCCCAGAUGACACCGAAAAUGAAGACCCAAGGUAAUUGCCGACAGGAUCAUUGCAGAAACUGAGAAGAGGGGUGUGGCCAUGGAGUUGCUGAAUCUCUACAAGACGACACUUCUCUCACACGGAGGAGGCUCACAAUGGUUUGAAGGUCACUGCAGCCAUUUUGCGCCUCUUACCUCUUCAAAGAUCCAAGUGGGCUGUAUGUCAGACAGGAUGAAAGCCACAUCCAGCUCUUCCUGGAUGGAUAGAAGCUACUCACUGAAAAGCCGGAGGACAUCUCCAUGGGAUUGGGAGUGGCAAUGGGUGUCAUUUCCUUCUUAAUAUUGAGUAUGCAGCAUCAGUAAAAAGUAUUAUGCUGUUAAUUCAGAAAUGUGUUCUGGGAAUUGAUGAGGGGUUAAAUUACCUACAAAUUUUGUAUGAAUUAAUCAAUAAAAUGAAUUGGCUAAGUUUGCCAAUCAAUGUAACUUGUAUUUUAUUGUUAUAAUUCAUAAAAGAUUACAAAGGACAAAAAGAUUCCUACAGGAACCUUAACACCCUAAAAAGGUGCUUUGAGGGAACUUUAACGGUUCCUCAGGGAAAAGGUUCCUGGAAGCACCAAAAGAGGUUCUGCCGGC
This 1030-nucleotide long non-coding RNA is filed under the name Salmo salar (Atlantic salmon). Its description in RNAcentral is "lncRNA (ENSSSAG00000118849.1)". Lineage: Eukaryota; Metazoa; Chordata; Actinopteri; Salmoniformes; Salmonidae. The record is from RNAcentral.